Molecule: ribosomal RNA, 253 nt
Filed under: uncultured bacterium
Lineage: Bacteria
Description: partial 16S ribosomal RNA
Rfam family: Bacterial small subunit ribosomal RNA
Source: RNAcentral
UACGAGGGGUGCGAGCGUUAAUCGGAAUUACUGGGCGUAAAGCGUGCGCAGGCGGUUUUGUAAGUCAGAUGUGAAAUCCCCGGGCUCAACCUGGGAACUGCGUUUGAAACUACAAGACUAGAGUGUAGCAGAGGGGGGUGGAAUUCCACGUGUAGCAGUGAAAUGCGUAGAGAUGUGGAGGAACACCGAUGGCGAAGGCAGCCCCCUGGGUUAACACUGACGCUCAGGCACGAAAGCAUGGGGAGCAAACAGG